GACACCAAUAGCGUCUGCUACAUACAGCAGCUAAAACUGAAGCUUUUCUGAGCUCCUGAGAGCAACUGAGAUGAAAAAGAGGCUUUGUCUUUACUCAUUUCUCUGGAUGAGUCUAGAUUAUGACCACACACUGUGAAGGAGAGAAUGAGGCUGAAAGGAACUGUUACAUUAGAUUGUGACAGAGCAAAGAGUGUGUGUUUGUGUGUGUAGGUGACCGAGAGAAAGAAGAGGCAGUGUUUACUAUUCCCAAAAUGGCACAAGAAAAUGAAGAUUUCCUGACCUGUCAUUUUCACUAAAAGUAAUGGUGCAAUUAUAGGAAGUGCCUGGGUAGUUCUGAAAUUCUUUCAGAAACUGGGGAACAAGUUCUCAUUCCAUUUUCAGUUGGAAUAAUGAAGCCAAACGACUGUCUCUUCACCAUCAAGUGCACUCAGGGAACAGGGACUUGGAAACGGUACCCUUGAAGAGGUGAUCCUGAGGCAGCCUGAAAUGACAGGGGAGACAGUGGUUCAUCAGGGAGAUUAGAUCUGGAGUAAAUGGCUGCAGGUUGGCAUUCUAGACAAAGGUGAGCCACUUGGAGGAAGGGCAAGUGCACAGGGGCAUCAAAUAUCCUGAAUUGUUCAAAGGAGUGGAGUAAGUUCUCCACUACUGAGAACAAAGUGGUAUGUAAUGAUUAAUGAUGCUAGAGAAGGAAUUAUAGGCCAGGCCAGAUCAUAGAAAGCCUUGAGUCCAUCUUGUAGACUUUGGGAUGAAGCUGUAAGAAAGGAUUUGAAGCAGAGAAAUGACAGGAUCUGAUUUUAUUUUUGUGAAGAUCCUCCCUGGUGGAUCAGAAGUGUGAGCAACUGGAGUGGAGACAGUAAUUAGAAAAUUAUUGCCAAAAUCUGGGGUAGAGUUGGCAAGAGCCAGAGCUAAGCCAAGAGCAACGAGGAUGAAGAAGAGGCCGCUUGUGGGCAAGAUGUAAAUCAGGAAACACCUGCAGGACUCACAGAUGACUCACUAGGAAUGGUGAUGGAGAAGGAGGCAUCUAGGGUCACCCCGGGUUUAUGGCUUGAGUGAAAGGGUGAGUGAGGACACCAUUCCCCAAAACAGGAG
Molecule: long non-coding RNA, 1089 nt
Filed under: Oryctolagus cuniculus (rabbit)
Lineage: Eukaryota; Metazoa; Chordata; Mammalia; Lagomorpha; Leporidae
Description: lncRNA (ENSOCUG00000030426.1)
Source: RNAcentral